RNAcentral lists this ribosomal RNA (967 nucleotides) under Bacillus sonorensis. Its description in RNAcentral is "bacterial SSU rRNA". It matches the Rfam family "Bacterial small subunit ribosomal RNA", at positions 142 to 1101 of the family's 1533-position model. The record is from RNAcentral. Lineage: Bacteria; Bacillati; Bacillota; Bacilli; Caryophanales; Bacillaceae.
GAUAACUCCGGGAAACCGGGGCUAAUACCGGAUGCUUGUUUGAACCGCAUGGUUCAAUUAUAAAAGGUGGCUUUUAGCUACCACUUACAGAUGGACCCGCGGCGCAUUAGCUAGUUGGUGAGGUAACGGCUCACCAAGGGACGAUGCGUAGCCGACCUGAGAGGGUGAUCGGCCACACUGGGACUGAGACACGGCCCAGACUCCUACGGGAGGCAGCAGUAGGGAAUCUUCCGCAAUGGACGAAAGUCUGACGGAGCAACGCCGCGUGAGUGAUGAAGUUUUCGGAUCGUAAAACUCUGUUGUUAGGGAAGAACAAGUACCGUUCGAACAGGGCGGUACCUUGACGGUACCUAACCAGAAAGCCACGGCUAACUACGUGCCAGCAGCCGCGGUAAUACGUAGGUGGCAAGCGUUGUCGGAAUUAUUGGGCGUAAAGCGCGCGCAGGCGGUUUCUUAAGUCUGAUGUGAAAGCCCCCGGCUCAACCGGGGAGGGUCAUUGGAAACUGGGGAACUUGAGUGCAGAAGAGGAGAGUGGAAUUCCACGUGUAGCGGUGAAUGCGUAGAGAUGUGGAGGAACACCAGUGGCGAAGGCGACUCUCUGGUCUGUAACUGACGCUGAGGCGCGAAAGCGUGGGGAGCGAACAGGAUUAGAUACCCUGGUAGUCCACGCCGUAAACGAUGAGUGCUAAGUGUUAAGGGUUUCCGCCCUUUAGUGCUGCAGCAAACGCAUUAAGCACUCCGCCUGGGGAGUACGGUCGCAAGACUGAAACUCAAAGGAAUUGACGGGGGCCCGCACAAGCGGUGGAGGUGGUUUAAUUCGAAGCAACGCGAGAACCUUACCAGGUCUUGACAUCCUCUGACACCCCUAGAGAUAGGGCUUCCCCUUCGGGGGCAGAGUGACAGGUGGUGCAUGGUUGUCGUCAGCUCGUGUCGUGAGAUGUUGGGUUAAGUCCCGCAACGAGCGCAA